This 683-nucleotide transfer RNA is filed under the name uncultured Prochlorococcus sp. The stretch from base 265 to 337 matches the Rfam family "tRNA". Lineage: Bacteria; Bacillati; Cyanobacteriota; Cyanophyceae; Synechococcales; Prochlorococcaceae. The record is from RNAcentral.
CAGGGAGACAAAAAACUGAUUGUGAUGUCUAGGUUAUUUAUUCCUAGGCCACGAUCCUGUCACCUUAGGUCGAUCGGUACCUCAGGUUAGGAAUGAAUUAGCUAUUGAGAAAUCAGUUUCUAGUUUUUAUUAAUUUCAGUUCCUAAACUUGUCUAGGUCACACCCAACAAGGGUACUCCUGGGCCAUUAGCUCAGGUGGUUAGAGCGCACCCCUGAUAAGGGUGAGGUCCCUGGUUCAAGUCCAGGAUGGCCCAUUCGAUGUUUGGGGGUAUAGCUCAGUUGGUAGAGCGCCUGCUUUGCAAGCAGGAUGUCAGCGGUUCGAGUCCGCUUACCUCCACUGAUCAACUACCUGAUAACUCAAUGGAGAUUGUCAUUUGUUUGCAGUGACUUAGAUGUUGUUCUUUUGAAUGAACCUAGCUUCCUAUCACUCUUUAUUUAUUUCUAAUGAGACUGAUAAGACGCUGGGCUCACUGAUAGAAGUAUCAGUUUGAUUCAGCAGAACCUUGACAACUGCAUAGAAAAGUCUGGAAAAAAAAGCAUCUAAAUAGAUUUAUGGAAGCUUUUAAUUUAAAAGUUUCUAUAUUCAAUUCUUGAGUUAGAGCAAAAGUUCUAUGACUGCAUUCACUUAAAUUUAUUUAAGUGGAGUUCUAAUUUUUAUUAGACAGUUAUAUAGCAAUUUUAAU